UGGGGUUGGAGCUGGAUGAGCUUUAAGGUCCUUUUCAGCCCAAACCAGUCUGGGAUUGUCUGAUUCAUUGGCAUGUCCAGCUGGUUCCUGUGGAGUUCUUCACCUGGCAGGAUGGACAGUGAAGGACCCAUUCUGAGGUAUUUUCAGUGUGCACUGAGGCAGGGUGUUUGGGACUAUGGAUUUAGGCAAAGACGCAGUGCAGUGCUCAGCACCGCAACAGCCAGGCCCGUUACUGAAUCUGGCCUUCCUGCAAUAAGUGUGAGUAAUGGGAAGAGAGGCAUGAGAGCAGAAUGACUGUACAGGAGCUGCACUUGUCUUGCUAGAAUGGAAAACAUCUUUGUAAAGGGGUAAAAUUAGCGCUGGGUACAAGAAUGCCAUUUCAUGAAACAAAUGACUACACCUCUUCCCAGUGGCAGGAGCAAAGUGACACAUCCCUGUCCCGCUCCCAGGGCUGCUGCACAGUAGCCAGGCUGGGAUGAGGAGUGGAUCCCAGUGCUGAGGGACCCUGGCCAUCCACCUCAGUAUGGUUUGUGAUGAGAGAUGUCUUCCUCGGGUAUGGGGAGAGCAGGGCAGGAGGAUGUAUGUUUGAGACAUGGGAUGUGGUCUAUUUGAGAUGUGCAGUUGCUUCUGAGGUGUUCGUGGUAGCAAAGUCACAGAAAAAACUGAAUAAAAUCGGGUAUCUCCUUACUAGAGGCUCUUUUAUCUCCUAUUUGUUGUAUUUUACUUCUCUCUGCUGUAUUUUUCCUUUCUUUUUGUCUCUUAAUGCCUUCCACUCUAUAGUUCUACAUCCUUAUUUAUUAUCCACGUUUGUUUACUGCUGCUUUUUUCCUCAUGCAUGUCUUUACUGCUUUAGCUUUCCUGUAUCACAGAGUCAUAAUGGUUAGGGUUGGAAAGGACCUUAAACCCCUUUCUCUUUUGUCUCUCUUGUGAUCUGCCAUCCAGUUUGGCCACCUCCGUGCGAUGGAGCAAUGUACCUGGUGGGCUGAGUGAGGCUUGCAUCACCUCCCUGAACCAGAUUGCAUCUGCGGUCAGCUGGAAGUGACUACAUGCCUGAACUGACAAAAGAUGCUGUGGAAACACAGAUCUCUGGGGCAAGAUGCUUUUGCUGUAUCCUGUCUCUUUAUUGCCUGAUCCCCUGGAAGACACAAGAGUGAGAAUCAGUGGUGUGUCCUUACCCUGCAAACACUCUGAGAACUGCUUUGACAGCUAACAGAACCAAAUAGUGGAUGUAGCCACAGCAAGCUCCUGCUCUUUCUACCAAGUUACAACUGCUCUGCGAUCCAAAGGAGUGAUGCUUGAACCUCCCUCUGAUCCACUGUGUUCUUUUCUCUGACUGUAGCAGCACUGUUUCUUUCCAACACACAAUGUUCAUGCAAAAAUGCAGAUUGAAGCAGGUUUCCUACUUUAAUCUUAAGGAAUUAAGGAAAAUUAAGAAGAGGUGAGCUAGAUCACUGUGAGGAUAGAUGCCUCCUGUUGUGGAAUAGAACGAAAUCCAGUGCCAUGCUCCCUACCAUUAGACCUGAUACAACUGCUGUUAUGACCAAGAGUCAUACAGCAAGAGUCUCAAAAUCAACCAUAAACCUAUGGGUCAGGCAAUAAGUGACUUGACAUUUCUCAUUGCAGAGUGAUAGUUUCAUGCCUUUAAUCUGCAUCACUGCAGGCAGUGUAUUAUUGAAUCCAGUGAGGUUUGAAUCCCACUAUGAAUUUCAUUGUUUUCCACAAGUGGAUUAUGAAGAGAAACCUUUGAUAUCUAUUAAUUGUGUGUCUCUGAGUGAAAGGCUAUUGUAUGUAUAUAUGUAUUUCGUAACAGGAAAUGUAACAAACAUCUAUUUUUAUUACAUUAAUAAACCAGAUAAACCUA
This is a long non-coding RNA of Pezoporus occidentalis (night parrot), 1861 nucleotides long. RefSeq lists it as uncharacterized. NCBI's taxonomy places the organism in Eukaryota, Metazoa, Chordata, Aves, Psittaciformes, Psittacidae. The transcript has 2 exons. The record is from RefSeq and is a predicted model, not a curated record.